This is a small nuclear RNA of Ipomoea nil (Japanese morning glory), 118 nucleotides long. It matches the Rfam family "U5 spliceosomal RNA". Rfam says of the family: U5 RNA is a component of both types of known spliceosome. The precise function of this molecule is unknown, though it is known that the 5' loop is required for splice site selection and p220 binding, and that both the 3' stem-loop and the Sm site are important for Sm protein binding and cap methylation. NCBI's taxonomy places the organism in Eukaryota, Viridiplantae, Streptophyta, Magnoliopsida, Solanales, Convolvulaceae. The record is from Rfam.
AGCCAUGUGAUGAACACAUAGCGAACUAUUCUUUCGCCUUUUACUAAAGAAUACCGUGUGUUCAUUACAAUCAAUGGCAUACUCCAAUUUUUGAAGGGUGUUUAUUGUUAUUAUAAAU